This is a long non-coding RNA of Cannabis sativa, 652 nucleotides long. RefSeq lists it as uncharacterized. NCBI's taxonomy places the organism in Eukaryota, Viridiplantae, Streptophyta, Magnoliopsida, Rosales, Cannabaceae. The record is from RefSeq and is a predicted model, not a curated record. The transcript has 2 exons.
CUCUAUAGUGUGAAAAUGCAUCCUGGUAGUUGCAUUAACUCGCACCUGUUGAUGAUGAAUCUGAAGUUCCAAAAGGCAAAUCUACUAGGAAUUGAUUUAUCAAGAGAACAAUGGGUCCAACUUAUCCUUAAUAGUCUUCCUCCGGAGUAUAAUGAAUUUGUUAUCUCUUACAUGAUCAACAAUUCUAACUCCUCCGACAUGGACAAGCUCGAAGCAGAAUUACGAGCCCAUGAACGGAACUUGAUUGCAAUGGGUUCCCCUAGGUUUGCAAUCAAUAAUCGAAGGAAAAGGACUAGGUAUGAAGGAUCUAGCAAAACUGCUUCUUCAAGUACAAUUAUCAGACAUCAUCUUCUAUGUUCGAAUUGUAAUGAAAAGGGUCAUCAUGAAGAACGAUGUCCCAGGCUUCUAAACAAUUCAAACAAAGUUGCUUGAAACUUGGGAAAAUCUGCUUCCAGGAGAGUUACAGCUUAAAGUUGGCAAUGGCGAAUUAGUAUCGGUCAAAGCUAGAGGAAAAGCCCGCAUCAAGUUUCAACAAAGAUUUUUAAUUUUAGAAAAUGUUUAUUUAUUCCAAACUUUAGUAGAAACUUGAUUAGUGUCUCAUGUUUGCAAACACAAUCUUAUAUAUUGAAUUUUUCGAGUACAAAUUGUUCAA